Molecule: RNA transcript, 3192 nt
Organism: Daphnia pulex (common water flea)
Lineage: Eukaryota; Metazoa; Arthropoda; Branchiopoda; Diplostraca; Daphniidae
Gene: Ars2
Gene name: serrate RNA effector molecule homolog
Exons: 16
Source: RefSeq, a predicted model, not a curated record
UUCUUCAGUUACUGAUUAUUCAAAUCAUAAGGCAGUAACAGUUUUACCCUGCAGGCGACAGCACUUGUAUUCCUCAAACUUUCGUUGGCACCAACGGGCAACGGCGUUCUCAGUUUUCUUCUGAUCGCGUGGCGAAAUCAAACUAAACGCAAAUUUGGCUUAAGAAGUAGGUCACCAACCUGUACCAUGGGGGACAGUGAUGAUGAUUAUGAUCGUCGCAGAAGGGAUAAGUUUAGAGGAGAACGAAGUGAGUACCGGGGAGCUGGAGAAUCUGGAAGGAGAGAAGAAAGAGGCAAUCCUAGGAGAGAAGAGUGGAAUGAUAGUAGAGGCAUCAUGGAACCGAGAAGAGGUGAAUCUUGGUCUCAAAGAGGGUCUCGUUCUCAACCACGUCACGAAUAUCGCGAAUCUUACAGAGGUCGUGAAAGAUACAGCCCAGCAGGUGGGUAUGAUGCACCACAAGCUCCAAAAAGGAUGAGGCCUGACUGGGAAGACAGGCGCUAUGGAUUUGAUGCUGGUUAUGGGCCCAACAUUGGCUCUUCAUGGGGUCAGAAUGAACCAGUCAUUAAUACUCCACCAAACGCUGGAAACUUUAGUGGAUCUUCUUCAAGAGGGGAAGAAUUUCCUACUCAACCACCAAUGAUGUCCUUUAAAGCUUUUCUGGCUGCCCACGAUGAUUCAAUCUCUGACGAAGAAGCAGUUAAAAAGUAUGCCGAGUACAAGCUAGAAUUUCGUCGUCAGCAGCUGAAUGAAUUUUUCACAAGCCACAAGGAUGAAGAGUGGUUUAAGUUGAAAUAUCACCCGGAAGAGAAUCAAAAACGGAAGAACGAGCAUAAAGCUCAUAUUGAAUUACGCAUGAAAACUAUUUUGGAUUUAAUGGCUGAGGGUUCUUUUGAUCAAGUGACUAUCGAUGCGGAUCAGUCAGAAAAGCUAGUAAAACUUCUUGACACCGUGGUAAUUAAACUCGAAGGUGGGAAUGAGUUAGAUCUUCAGGUCCUUGACAACCCUCCUCAACCAACCGCCGAUAAGCAGCCUAUUAAAAUCCAAGAGAAGGUUAUCAAGGAGAUUGAAGAUAAAGAAAAUGAUGAUUUGGGCGAAGGCGACGAUGCUAAAGAAGAUGGUGUGAUCGAGGACUCCAAAAUGGAAAUUAGCUCUGACCCAAAAAGUCCUAAUAACAGUGGCAAAAGAAAACGAAGCGGAUUUGAAUCGGAUAGUGGAAGCGACUGGGAGCGGGAAGGAAAGGAACAAUCGGAAAUAUCUGAAGCUCCUCAAAGCCCUGAUGGUAAGCCAGCUGGUGGUGAGGGUAGUCCUAGGGAAACCGAAGCAGCUGAUGAAAUUCCAGUAAAAGAUGAUGCCAAAGAAAAAGUUGAUGAAGAUGAAAGCAAGGAGGAAGAAAAAAAGGAAAAUGGCGGGCCAGUUCUUCCCCGAGAAUUGCAUCGGACUGCCUCCAUAUUUCUCCGUAAUUUGGCACCUACCAUUACCAAACUGGAAGUCGAAGCGAUGUGCAAACGGUAUCCUGGAUUUUUACGUGCUGCUAUUGCUGAUCCUCAGCCAGAACGCAGAUGGUUUCGCCGUGGUUGGGUGACGUUUGAGCGCAAUGUUAACAUCAAAGAGAUUUGUUGGAAUUUGAACAACAUUCGACUACGUGACACCGAAUUGGGAGCCAUUGUGAACCGGGAUCUAAGUCGUCGCAUCCGUACCGUUAGUGGCAUAACAUCGCAUAAACAAGUUGUGAGGAACGACAUUCGUUUAGCAGCCAAAAUCAUCCAAAACUUAGAUGCACGUUUGGGACUAUGGGCUGAGGAAGAGAAUGAUAAAGCUAAACAUUCUUCGGUCGCUGAUUCUACACUUACUUUCUCUGGCACCAGUCGCAACCCGGUUCUGAACAACAUAACCGAUUUUUUGAUCGAAGAAGCUUCUGCUGAAGAGGAAGAGCUCUUGGGUGCCUCAGCUAAUGAAGAAGGCGAAGAAGCUGAAGCAGCUGCAGGAUUGACUAGAGACGACGAACUUAUUAAAGUGCUGGAUCGUCUGCUCUUCUACUUGCGUAUUGUUCACUCGGUUGAUUACUACAAUCAUUGCGAAUAUCCGAAUGAAGAUGAAAUGCCGAACCGAUGUGGCAUUAUGCAUGCUCGUGGAAUUCCUCCGUCAUCCAAAGUUACCCAAAAUGAAAUCAAUGACUAUUGUCGAUCUUUCGAGAAUAAGAUUGCAUCAUUUCUGGAGCCAAUCAAACGGCUAAGUGAUGAAGAAGCGAGUAAAUUGGGUUUGAAAGAAUCGAAAGCCGAGGUCGAAAAGUUCGUUGCUGCCAACACACAGGAACUUGCCAAAGACAAAUGGCUAUGCCCUCUAUCUGGCAAAAAGUUUAAGGGUCCGGAUUUCGUUCGCAAACAUGUUUUUAACAAACAUGCUGAAAAGAUUGAUGAGGUGCGAAAGGAUGUUGAAUAUUUCAACAACUACUUGCGUGACCCUAAAAGGCCGCAAUUGCCCGAGCAUCCUGGAAAUCGAGCUGCCGGGGUGAGACCAUCGCCAAUGAAUGAGUCCCAAAGAGGCGAGCAUUUCGGUCCACCUGGAGGUUUCGGAUAUGGUGCUUUCAAUUACGGUGGAGGAAGAGGAGGUUAUGGUGGAGGUGGUUUCGGAGGACCGCCACAGAUCAAUAGCUUUAGUAACGCUGGCGGAGGAGGAGGCAGGGAUUUCGGAUUUGGCGGACGAAAUAACCGCGGAGGCAGAGGCCGUGGGCCCCAACAAUCCUCGUAUGAAGGUCGGACAAUAAUUGGCUAUGAUGACGUUGAUACUCCAGCUGACUUCGACGUCUUCUAAUAAAGAACAGGCUACCCUCCAAACGUUGUUUUCUUUGCUUUCGUUUGAAUACCAGAAACAGUUGCUUUCCUUCCCUUUUAAGCGCGGUGGACCUCGUCACAUGUCCCACUACCGGGAUCUCGAUCGCCCCAACGACGAAGAAUUUUGAACCAACUUGGAAUUAAGACGUAACCGCCGCGCGUUGAUUCUCCUACUGUUUAAUUUGAUCCUUGAUUUUAUCUGACCAACACCUUCUGUGCUGUGCUGUCUUCAUUUUUAGUUUACAAAUUUGUGGAUGCAUUGAUGCACAUUCAUUUCUUUCAUUUUGUCAAUCAGUCGUCAAUUGUCGAGAUCGCCGGGCUUUUGUUUGUAUUACAAAAAGAACCGUAACUUUAACUACAA